RNAcentral lists this transfer RNA (74 nucleotides) under Dermacentor andersoni. Its description in RNAcentral is "transfer RNA arginine (anticodon CCU)". It matches the Rfam family "tRNA". Rfam says of the family: Transfer RNA (tRNA) molecules are approximately 80 nucleotides in length. Lineage: Eukaryota; Metazoa; Arthropoda; Arachnida; Ixodida; Ixodidae. The record is from RNAcentral.
GCCGUGGUAGCUCAAUUGGUAUAGAGCAUCGCACGCCUAAUGCGAAGACGUGGGAUCGUACCCUACCUGCGGCA